RNAcentral lists this long non-coding RNA (774 nucleotides) under Coffea arabica (coffee). RNAcentral describes it as "long non-coding RNA (CARA_LNC004627)". Lineage: Eukaryota; Viridiplantae; Streptophyta; Magnoliopsida; Gentianales; Rubiaceae. The record is from RNAcentral.
CUUUUCCUCUUGUGCCCUCUCCUCUUGUAUGUGUUGCUCCUCUUUUCCUUCGGAUAAUAUCGGUAUUGAUUUCAUAGCAACCUUAAUUGAAGAGUAUAAACUAUUAAAGCACCAAUUCAAAGUUGACAAGAAAAUUUCAAACAUUAAGAAAAGCACAUUUUCCAAAAGAAAAUCAUCACCAAAUGGCAUAAAUAACUCCAAUAAUAUACAUUAUAUCCUCAAAACAUCAUAAUUAAGACAUGAGCUCCAAAAUUAUUCUAGAAUUUGCAUUUACCAUGAGACCUCAAAUUAGCAAUUCACAAUUAGCUUCAUAUAUUGAAAAAUAAGCACUUAUACAUCAUAAAAAAAUGCUAUAUAAGGCCAACAAUAACCAUAAUGAAGCUAAACAAAUUCCUCAUUAAAAUUGCCUAUUUAGCAAAGAAUUCAAGAAAUGGUAUUUUGCCUAAUUCCUCACUUUGCACCAAUGUUAACCACAAUAGGAAAAUUAACAUGCUUAUGGAAGUUAAAUGAGCUCAACUAAGCAUCAAAACAACAACAAAUUUCACCAAAAAUUCACCAAGAAAUUCGUCCAAAAAUUCAAGAAAAUUUGACUAUGGUGAAAUUUUGAUUGAGCCAAAUAAAGUCAAGAGACUUACAUGGGACAUGUAGAGUGAUGAUAUGUAAGCCAAAUGAUGCAUGAAGCCCCAAAAGCUUAACUCAAAUGAACUCCAAAUUGAAGGAAGCGACAUUCUAGAACCCUAAGAUGCUUGACUCAAAUCCUCCAAAGUUGGUGUU